CUACGGGCGGCUGCAGUGAGGAAUAUUGCGCAAUGGGCGAAAGCCUGACGCAGCAACGCCGCGUGGAUGAUGAAGGCCUUCGGGUUGUAAAAUCCUUUUAUGGGGAACGAUAAUGACGGUACCCCAGGAAUAAGUCCCGGCUAACUACGUGCCAGCAGCCGCGGUAAAACGUAGGGGGCGAGCGUUAUCCGGAUUUACUGGGCGUAAAGCGCGCGUAGGCGGUGUCGCAAGUUGGAUGUGAAAGCUCCCGGCUUAACUGGGAGGGGUCGUUCAAAACUGCGGUGCUUGAGGACAGAAGAGGAGAGCAGAAUUCCCGGUGUAGUGGUGGAAUGCGUAGAUAUCGGGAGGAAUACCAGUGGCGAAGGCGGCUCUCUGGUCUGAACCUGACGCUGAGGUGCGAAAGCGUGGGGAGCGAACGGGAUUAGAUACCCUAGUAGUC
This 439-nucleotide ribosomal RNA is filed under the name uncultured bacterium. RNAcentral's name for it is "partial 16S ribosomal RNA". It matches the Rfam family "Bacterial small subunit ribosomal RNA", at positions 339 to 795 of the family's 1533-position model. The record is from RNAcentral.